GAUGAACGCUGGCGGCGUGCCUAAUACAUGCAAGUCGAGCGAACAGACGAGGAGCUUGCUCCUCUGACGUUAGCGGCGGACGGGUGAGUAACACGUGGAUAACCUACCUAUAAGACUGGGAUAACUUCGGGAAACCGGAGCUAAUACCGGAUAAUAUAUUGAACCGCAUGGUUCAAUAGUGAAAGACGGUUUUGCUGUCACUUAUAGAUGGAUCCGCGCCGCAUUAGCUAGUUGGUAAGGUAACGGUUUACCAAGGCGACGAUGCGUAGCCGACCUGAGAGGGUGAUCGGCCACACUGGAACUGAGACACGGUCCAGACUCCUACGGGAGGCAGCAGUAGGGAAUCUUCCGCAAUGGGCGAAAGCCUGACGGAGCAACGCCGCGUGAGUGAUGAAGGUCUUCGGAUCGUAAAACUCUGUUAUUAGGGAAGAACAAAUGUGUAAGUAACUAUGCACGUCUUGACGGUACCUAAUCAGAAAGCCACGGCUAACUACGUG
RNAcentral lists this ribosomal RNA (497 nucleotides) under uncultured bacterium. RNAcentral's name for it is "partial 16S ribosomal RNA". It matches the Rfam family "Bacterial small subunit ribosomal RNA", at positions 28 to 507 of the family's 1533-position model. The record is from RNAcentral.